UAUACAGGUAACGAGCUGAGAUUAGGAGCACUCCUUUUAAAAGAAAGUGCUCCUAAUCUCAGCUCGUUACCUGUAUA
Molecule: non-coding RNA, 77 nt
Organism: Pelobates cultripes (western spadefoot toad)
Lineage: Eukaryota; Metazoa; Chordata; Amphibia; Anura; Pelobatidae
Source: the annotation of a GenBank genome assembly